AAGUCGUAACAAGGUUUCCGUAGGUGAACCUGCGGAAGGAUCAUUACCUGCCGUGGGGACGCCGUGCUCCGGCACGGUGAGCCCCUCACGCGGCCACCCGUGCUUACCUGAACCCCUUGUUGCCUCGGUGGGCGUUGCCCGCCAUCAGGCCUUCACAGAACCUGUAUAACCUGAGUGAUGUCUGAGUGGAUCGAUGGAAUUAGUUAAAACUUUCAACAAUGGAUCUCUUGGUUCCG
This 236-nucleotide unclassified non-coding RNA is filed under the name fungal sp. RNAcentral describes it as "partial internal transcribed spacer region". The stretch from base 1 to 46 matches the Rfam family "Eukaryotic small subunit ribosomal RNA", at positions 1786 to 1831 of the family's 1831-position model. RNAcentral also lists the same sequence under 1 other name. The record is from RNAcentral. Lineage: Eukaryota; Fungi.